Molecule: long non-coding RNA, 242 nt
Filed under: Capra hircus (goat)
Lineage: Eukaryota; Metazoa; Chordata; Mammalia; Artiodactyla; Bovidae
Description: lncRNA (ENSCHIG00000007763.1)
Source: RNAcentral
CCUGGAGUUUCCUGGAGGGAUGUCUUCUUCUUUCUCCUCGAUGAGAGGUCCCUGAGAGACUGUGACCUCACUCUUUCUCAAGCCAGGCCGCGUGUGUCUCUCAGAGCUGAUUGUAAUUCCUGUAAGAUGCAUUCACUGUAAGUCCACGCAUUUGCCUAUCUCUCCUUCCAGGUAGCUAUAGAGUCUACUGCCUUGAACGGGGACCCCAGGAACAGUUGCUCUCCACACUACAUCCACCACUA